Molecule: non-coding RNA, 2388 nt
Organism: Pogona vitticeps (central bearded dragon)
Lineage: Eukaryota; Metazoa; Chordata; Lepidosauria; Squamata; Agamidae
Source: RefSeq, a predicted model, not a curated record
UGUUCUUAAAUUCUUUCUCUUUUUUGCUUACUUUAACUCUUUAGUAUUUUAAUGUCAUUUUUUUUAAUAAUGGCCAUGAACACAACAAAGUAAAACCAGACUCCAGACUUUCUUAUUUUCCCCUUACUUAUUAAAAAUAUGUUUCUGUUUUCCCUCACCUUUCCCUCACAAACAAAAACCCGGCAUAUAUAGCAUCCAAAAACUAGUAUUUCUAUAAUGGUUAGGUUUUAAUUAGUGUGAAUAACCAAAUCAGGAAUGUUUAUGUAAAAUAUUUGCUAAUUCAAAUACUAAACCAUGUCUUACGUUACUUCAGUAUUCUGGGUUGCUGGAAAAAAAAAUUUUCACUCAUUCUUUAAUUCAGGAAUGGAGAAUGAAUGGCCCUCAAAAUGCUCUGGAUUACAGUUCCUUUGAACCCCUUGCCAUGGUGGCUGCAACUUCUAUUGUGCUGAAGGUUCCCCAACUCUUGCUGUAAUGAAUACAAAUACAUGCUUGGGGCCACAGCCAUGCCCCCAACUGCUCUUUCAGUGCCAGCUGAGCUGCUACCACGCUGGAAUACAACAACGCCCAGCCUAUUGCUGAAUAUUUUGCUCAAAAGGCCAGUGGGGCAGGUCACUUAGUUUGUUGCAAGAAAAACAACAAAGAGUCCUGUGGCAUAAAGUUUUGUUUGGCACAAAUUCCUGUGAACUCUAGCCGUGCUCGCCACAGGUAUCCUGUGUGUUAUGAAAUGGGCUGCGGUUCACAAAAACUUACACCACAUAAAGCUCGCUUGCCUUUAAAGUGUCGUGAGACUUCUUGUGGCAUUCAUUAAGCAGCUCUUUUUGCAUGGGGCAAAAUACUGUCUCUGUGAUUCCACUUUUUGGAACAGGAACACAUGCAUUGCAUGCUCCAUUUUCCACAGGCACGUAGCACCAGUGAAGUCAAAACACAGUAGUCUUGUAUUAUAUUUUUAUCAGUCAAGCGGCAAGUUCAUGUUUUAAUGAUAUGGAAUGCACCUGUUCUUUUGAGUGACCUUUAUUUAAGGUGGCUUUUUUUAAAAAAAAUGUUUCUUUUUAGAUCUGGUUGCUUGGUGUCCUGAAAUACAAAAUUGCUGGCUUGUCCUUUCUGUCAAAGCAGGUGUCUUCUGUGUUGCAAUGAAUGUGACUGUUCCUGGAACCAUUUAUUCCUUUGUGCUUAUACUGAGGACGUUUCCAAAUGAUCAGUUAAUAAUGCAAUGGAAAUACAGUUACCCAUGUCUUCUGCAGGAUACAAGCAUCUUGCUUAGGGAAAUAUUUUUGGUUAGAGAUAGCAUAUGUUCCCAGUCUUCAGCUUAUGGUUACUGUACUGUUAAAAAGAAAUUCUCUAUCCCUUGGACUGCCAUCUUAGCUCUUGGUAAUGCAUAUGUAUCAAGUUCCUAUUGGACAGUGCUAGUGACACCACUGGUGGUGAGGAACUAAAUUACCUUGUUAGCCCAUAGUGUGAGCCUGAGUGACACCAGUGCUCAGUCAAGAAAGAGGGGCACUUCAUGGGAGCUAAACUGAAUAUAAUUUCUGUCCUCCUGGACAGUGAGAUUUCAGACUUUCCUCUGAGACUUCCUGAUGGAAUUUUCCUUGACAUUUGAGACAAAUCUGUCUCAGCACAUUUGAUUAGUCCCUCUUCAUAGCAUGAGAAUUCCUUGCCACAUGCUGAAAAAUGCAUUGUUCAACUUUCUUAAAAACUGGACUAUAGAUACUUAUUUCACCUCUAUUAUAAGUGAACUGCUCCUUGCACUAUUACCUGUGAACUGGAAUAAGCCCUUGGUAUACCACAUAGAGAAACAACCUUGCAGUUAGAUCUCUGUGGCCUUUCCAGAGCACGAGUCUGAAAGAUUAUAUUUUCUUCCUUCUCAGCUCAGCUCUGUUAUGUCCAGCUAUACUGCCUGCACCUUAUUUAUUUUAAGAAUGACGUGGUAUUUAAUGGUGCACUAUUUUCACUGGAGUUUGAUCCUAAUGUUCAGAAUUAUUAGAAUGUUGUGUUUUCUUCUAGGAGAUUUAGCAGUGGUACAAGGUUUAUGUCUAUUGAUAAAUUUUUGUUAGUCUGGACCGUCACUAGAGCUAGUUUUCAAUGGGCAUGUUUUCUGAUGGCAAUAUGUAAAUGGGCAUCUUGUUGAAUAGGGAUACCUUUUCCCAUAAGGUACUGGGAUGUCCAUCCAUGUUAUGUGAUUAAACCUGUCAAUUGCUUCUGGAAUUGCAAAGAUCCCGUACAGAUUGUGUUAGAAAAACAGAUAAAUCUGUGGAUAAUUCUGGACUGUUGUAUGUAGGGAUCUUUAUUACAUUUUCAGUGGAGAUACUAAAGUAAUGAGAAUGUACUUUUUUUAAUGGGUGGAAAACAUCUUUGUUCAUUCUGACAAACAAAUGCAAUUAUGGUUCUGCA